RNAcentral lists this unclassified non-coding RNA (234 nucleotides) under plant metagenome. RNAcentral's name for it is "partial contains small subunit ribosomal RNA, internal transcribed spacer 1, and 5.8S ribosomal RNA". The record is from RNAcentral.
UUUCCGUAGGUGAACCUGCGGAAGGAUCGUUACUGAGUGAGGGCCCUCUGGGUCCAACCUCCCACCCGUGUUUAUUGUACCUUGUUGCUUCGGUGAGCCCGCCUCACGGCCGCCGGGGGGCAUCUGCCCCCGGGCCCGCGCUCGCCGAAGACACCAUUGAACUCUGUCUGAAGUUUGCAGUCUGAGCGAAAACUAAAUAAGUUAAAACUUUCAACAACGGAUCUCUUGGUUCCG